Molecule: long non-coding RNA, 1369 nt
Filed under: Elaeis guineensis (African oil palm)
Lineage: Eukaryota; Viridiplantae; Streptophyta; Magnoliopsida; Arecales; Arecaceae
Description: long non-coding RNA (EGUI_LNC076372)
Source: RNAcentral
UCUCUCUCUCUCUCUCUCUCUCUCUCUCUGCGCGCUAUAUUCAACUCCUUUUUCUCUUUAGCUUCCUCCAAGAUAUUUUCUUAUAUAAUCACAGUCCUGCAACAGAUUUACAUUCGCAACCGUCACGAUCAGGUAUUUUCCCCUAGGUCAACCCUCUUAAACAAGACUCCAACCAAAUCUUAACCAGCAUAGCUAAUAACAAACAACUAAGAUGCUUUUUUUGAUCCAAUUAGAAAAAAUGCCCAAGCUGAACAGGUCAUGGAAGAAAAUAAAAAGGAGACAGUAACCGAGUCUUUUCUAUUCUGAACUCCUUUCUAUUCGUUUAAAUAUUUGAGGCAUUUAAUAUGAAAGUACAUCUAGGUUAAAUUCUUGUUCACCAUGCUCAAAGUUGUAAAAAAGUUAACCUGUAGUACAAUGGUUAAGCAUGUCAAUUUGAAUUAUGAAUAGUUUUUCAGACCCGAAUAACCGUGCAAGUCCCUGCUAAACAUUGAGGCACAGAAAAUUGGAUAAAUGCAUUUUCAGGCCAAGCAAUUGAAUCAUGAACGAUGCUCUCCAUAAAAACAUCCAUAAAUAUCAUAAAGCAAUUAGCUUAGGAUAAUUACUUUUAUCCUCCAAAUUCCACAAAAAGACCUUUUCUACAUGAUUUCUAAUUGUCUGUGUUUCUGUCAUUCAUUAUAUAGGCAAGACAUGAAUUCCUAUCAGUGCAAUAUGCCAUAAAAGGAUAUGUUAAUAUGCAUUUGUAAUAAAUCUAUGGUGUGCACCAAUUUGGCUAUAUUUAUGUUAGUCAAUAUAGAUCAUAGCAGGGUGUUAUGUUGGAAGGUUGAAGUGAACAAUUGCCAAUGAUGAUGUAAACCAUCACAAUGCAAGGCAUCAUUAUUGCAUGGAAGAGAUGAGGCUCAGAGUCUCAUUAGUCAAAAAUAAUACUCCAACAAAAGUUGAGGUUAGACCAUAUCCUAGCGUACUCUUCACAAGCUUGGCAUGGUCAAACCUGAGUGAGCUUCUUAAAGAAUAUGUCAGAAGCACCAGAUUCAUGUCUGUUAAGAUAAUAUAGUUGGAUGUGUUUGUUGUAAAAAAAAUAUAUAUAUAAUGGAAGAUUUGAAGAGAUGAAUGAGUCAAAUUAAAAGACAUUACUCAGUUUUGAUCCCAGCACUCCAGGGUCCUGGGAGGGGCGGACUGGGGACAACCUAAUAUUUGGCCUUUUUGGGUAUAUAGUAGCUGCUUCAGAACUUGAACCCCUGCCAUUGGACUUGCCAACCCAAGCCUUUUAUGCAGGAGAUAAACCUACACAUGCUAUUGAGAAGAUGCUUAUGGACAUUCAGAAAGAAUUAAUCGUCAUCUAAUUGUGCACCUCCUCCCAGUCACAGGCAAC